AUCACCGCGAGGAACCCGAGGAACGAAACGCUCGGCAAACGUUUUUAUCUGACGAACGGAGGAACAACACAGAGCUUUUUGUUCAACUGUGCAUCAUACAAAUUCGAUAGAUUUGCUCCACGAAUCGACUAUGGGGGGGGACUCCGGUAAGUUCGACGCGGAUGUGGUGGCACCGGUGGCGGCCAGGUUUAUUUGGUUUCAUCGCAUCAAAGAGCGGAAAGGCAUCCGCCUGCUCAAUUUUUCAUCGACAAUGCACUGCUGAAACUGAGACUGGAGGCAAUGCAAUGGCGAAAAAACCAGACCCGCAAUUGGUCCUACCGGAGGAUGUAAAGUGAUGAAACAGGAACUUGGAUCAGUGACAGCAUCUGCGAGCUCGGAGGAAUCUGAUAGAACAGUGUAUAAUGUGUUAAAAAUAACGAUUGAGUGAAAUAAAAGUUGGUUGAAAUGA
This is a long non-coding RNA of Uranotaenia lowii, 448 nucleotides long. RefSeq lists it as uncharacterized. The record is from RefSeq and is a predicted model, not a curated record. Lineage: Eukaryota; Metazoa; Arthropoda; Insecta; Diptera; Culicidae. The transcript has 2 exons.